Molecule: ribosomal RNA, 497 nt
Filed under: uncultured bacterium
Lineage: Bacteria
Description: partial 16S ribosomal RNA
Rfam family: Bacterial small subunit ribosomal RNA
Source: RNAcentral
GAUGAACGCUGGCGGCGUGCCUAAUACAUGCAAGUCGAGCGAACAGACGAGGAGCUUGCUCCUCUGACGUUAGCGGCGGACGGGUGAGUAACACGUGGAUAACCUACCUAUAAGACUGGGAUAACUUCGGGAAACCGGAGCUAAUACCGGAUAAUAUAUUGAACCGCAUGGUUCAAUAGUGAAAGACGGUUUUGCUGUCACUUAUAGAUGGAUCCGCGCCGCCUUAGCUAGUUGGUAAGGUAACGGCUUACCAAGGCGACGAUGCGUAGCCGACCGGAGAGGGGGAUCGCCCACCCUGGAGGUGAGACACGGUCCAGACUCCUACGGGAGGCAGCAGUAGCGAAUCUUCCGCAAUGGGCGAAAGCAUGACGGAGCAACGCCGCGUGAGUGAUGACGGUCUUCGGAUCGUAAAGCUCUGUUAUUAGGGAAGAACAAAUGUGUAAGUAACUAUGCACGUCUUGACGGUACCUAAUCAGAAAGCCACGGCUAACUACGUG